GGCAUCUUCAGCAAAGGCAUCAAAUAGAACACACUGUUCCAGAAAUGGUCGCACCAAGUGCCAGGAAGGCGGUAACUUAGGCCGGUAUUGGCUCACAACUCUGAAUUCUAUUGUAAGUAACAAAUCUUCUGUGGGGGCAGUUUUAAUUUUGAUUGAGGGUCCUGUUUGUGAAACUUCAGUAUGGAACUCUUGCAGUCCGCAAACACAGCGUACAUUUCUGUACCUGG
This is a long non-coding RNA of Tyto alba (common barn owl), 227 nucleotides long. RefSeq lists it as uncharacterized. The transcript is spliced from 3 exons. The record is from RefSeq and is a predicted model, not a curated record. NCBI's taxonomy places the organism in Eukaryota, Metazoa, Chordata, Aves, Strigiformes, Tytonidae.